Equus asinus (donkey) is the source of this 107-nucleotide small nuclear RNA. NCBI's taxonomy places the organism in Eukaryota, Metazoa, Chordata, Mammalia, Perissodactyla, Equidae. The record is from Ensembl.
GUGCUUGCUUCAGCAGCAUAUAUACUAAAAUUAGAACGAUGCAGAGAAAAUCAGCAUGGCCCCUGCACAAGGAUGAUGUGCAAAUUCGUGAAGUGUUCCAUGUUUUG